UGAGGAAUAUUGGUCAAUGGGUGCAAGCCUGAACCAGCCAUCCCGCGUGAAGGACGACUGCCCUAUGGGUUGUAAACUUCUUUUGUAUAGGGAUAAACCUACCCUCGUGAGGGUAGCUGACGGUACUAUACGAAUAAGCACCGGCUAACUCCUUGCCAGCAGCCGCGGUAAUACGGAGGGUGCAAGCGUUAUCCGGAUUUAUUGGGUUUAAAGGGUCCGUAGGCGGACUUAUAAGUCAGUGGUGAAAGCCUGUCGCUUAACGAUAGAACUGCCAUUGAUAAUGUCAGUCUUGAGUAUAUUUGAGGUAGCUGGAAUAAGUAGUGUAGCGGUGAAAUGCAUAGAUAUUACUUAUAACACCGAUUACGAAGGCAGGUUACCAAGAUAUAACUGACGCUGAGGGACGAAAGCGUGGGGAGCGAACA
Molecule: ribosomal RNA, 422 nt
Filed under: uncultured bacterium
Lineage: Bacteria
Description: bacterial SSU rRNA
Rfam family: Bacterial small subunit ribosomal RNA
Source: RNAcentral